AUGGAAAAUGAUUUAUACACUACAUUAUGUGCAUGUAAAGUUGUUUGUAAACAAACGAGUUUAUUGCUAGCAUAGAUGGAUUUGAAUGUUACCCAAAGUAUUUAGCUUGAUUCAAAGACACACAACGUUAAAUAUUUUGGGUAACAAACAAAUUGACUUUAUGCUCACACACAAACAUUUAAACACUCGUACACAAAAAUAUUCAUUGUGAUAGAUAUUAGAGAAAAACAGUAUGAAGAGGAGUUAAAAAAAACCCGUAUACUUAUAAAGAUAAAUGCUACUAAACACAAA
Molecule: long non-coding RNA, 291 nt
Organism: Drosophila subobscura
Lineage: Eukaryota; Metazoa; Arthropoda; Insecta; Diptera; Drosophilidae
Exons: 3
Source: RefSeq, a predicted model, not a curated record